CAACGUGCAACCAGAAAAAUUUCUUUUAAUUGAAAAUUUCUUGGCGAGUGGUGGUGUGUUUGAAAGAAAAACCCUAAAAUGUGUACUCUAAUGCAAGGCCAUGUGGUCAUGCAUUUUAAAACAAAGAAAAGCUAAAAUAUCAAUCUUAUGCAACUGCAAUUAAUGGAUUAAAAAAUGUGAGAAAACACGUGGCGAGCGGUGAAAAGAGAGUGGGACAGCCGGCAUUGCACGCGAUGCUAUGCCAGACAAGAGCCGCCAUUUUUCUUAAGGCAUUUUGGAAAAAUGUGAUCGA
Molecule: long non-coding RNA, 292 nt
Organism: Drosophila simulans
Lineage: Eukaryota; Metazoa; Arthropoda; Insecta; Diptera; Drosophilidae
Exons: 3
Source: RefSeq, a predicted model, not a curated record